GAUGAAGAACGCAGCGAAAUGCGAUACGUAAUGUGAAUUGCAGAAUUCAGUGAAUCAUCGAAUCUUUGAACGCACAUUGCGCCCCUUGGUAUUCCGAGGGGCAUGCCUGUUCGAGCGUCAUUAUAACCCCUCAAGCUCAGCUUGGUGUUGGGGCCUGCCGCACGGGCAGCCCUUAAAAUCAGUGGCGGUGCCAUCUGGCUCUAAGCGUAGUAAUUCUUCUCGCUAUAGAGUCCCGGUGGAUGCUUGCCAUUAACCCCCAAUUUUCUAUGGUUGACCUCGGAUCAGGUAGGAUUACCCGCUGAACUUAAGCAUAUCAAUAAGCGGAGGA
This 328-nucleotide unclassified non-coding RNA is filed under the name soil metagenome. Its description in RNAcentral is "partial contains 5.8S ribosomal RNA, internal transcribed spacer 2, and large subunit ribosomal RNA". The stretch from base 1 to 120 matches the Rfam family "5.8S ribosomal RNA", at positions 35 to 154 of the family's 154-position model. The record is from RNAcentral.